AGCCGAAACGCGGGCCAGCGGCCCGCGUCGUGUCGGGGUGUUUCCCGGCGCCUGACGAUGGCAGACACCA
This 70-nucleotide non-coding RNA is filed under the name Gammaproteobacteria bacterium. Lineage: Bacteria; Pseudomonadati; Pseudomonadota; Gammaproteobacteria. The record is from RNAcentral.